GGCCUGCACCCACUGGUCGUAACGCUUGGCGUCCCUUCUCCUGGUGGAUGGUGGUUUACUUUUCAGGGCCGGCUUGGCUUUACUGGAGGGUACCUCUAGUUCCUUAGCCUUGGUCCACGUCAGCUGUACUGUCACCUGGUCAGUACUUGCCGAGAACUUCCAGGCAGGUUCUUUACCAGUCAACUUCAUGGCUGCUAACAAAGCAUUC
This 208-nucleotide long non-coding RNA is filed under the name Mytilus galloprovincialis (Mediterranean mussel). Lineage: Eukaryota; Metazoa; Mollusca; Bivalvia; Mytilida; Mytilidae. The record is from RNAcentral.